Molecule: long non-coding RNA, 520 nt
Filed under: Nicotiana benthamiana
Lineage: Eukaryota; Viridiplantae; Streptophyta; Magnoliopsida; Solanales; Solanaceae
Description: long non-coding RNA (NBEN_LNC027267)
Source: RNAcentral
UUGGCUAAACACUUGAAAAUAGUUGUUUCAUUAAUUAUUGUUCUUCAUAAAUCAUUCAUUUCAACUCAAACCAACUAAUAUUUAUCAAUCAAUGUAGCGUGCCAAAAAGCAAUAUACUCAAUCAGAGUAGUUCAAUCAACUAUAUUAGCACCAAUCGGAUUAAAGAUAAAAAAGAGAGAUGGACCUUAAUUUGCAUUUAUAUUUAGAAAUUCCAGAAAUUACAACAACAGAGAAAAAUUGAAGGACCAAUGAAUCCGGAACAGUGGAUCACAACAACGCUUUUGAACGGAAACAGUGAACCCGACCAGAAACUCAAACGGCGAUCAAAGAAUCUCCAAACAGCGACAAACUCGAACCAACUCGCAAUCUUUCGAAAGUCAAACCACAAACAUAGAACCUCUGCUUCGUAUGGAACAAGAAAACAUAGGUGAUUUGCUUCCUUCCAAACUAAAGUUUUAUUGAGAAAUUGACUUGAGAAGGGAAAAAAGUGAUUUAUUGAGAGGUGGUGCUAAACAAAAAC